UACGUAGGGUGCGAGCGUUAAUCGGAAUUACUGGGCGUAAAGCGUGCGCAGGCGGUUUUGCAAGCCGGAUGUGAAAUCCCCGGGCUUAACCUGGGAAUGGCAUUUGGGACUGCAAGGCUGGAGUGCGGCAGAGGAGACUGGAAUUCCUGGUGUAGCAGUGAAAUGCGUAGAUAUCUGGAGGAAUACCGGUGGCGAAGGCGGCAUCCUGGACCAUAACUGACGCUGAGGCGCGAAAGCUAGGGGAGCAAACGGG
RNAcentral lists this ribosomal RNA (253 nucleotides) under uncultured bacterium. RNAcentral's name for it is "partial 16S ribosomal RNA". It matches the Rfam family "Bacterial small subunit ribosomal RNA", at positions 524 to 776 of the family's 1533-position model. The record is from RNAcentral.